GCAAACUUGGUCAUUUAGAGGAAGUAAAAGUCGUAACAAGGUUUCCGUAGGUAAGUAGAAACUUUCCAUCUUACACCCCCUAUAGCCCCAUUGAAUAAUGUGCUGACUUUUCUCCUCUAGGUGAACCUGCGGAAGGAUCAUUAUCGAGUGUAACCUACCCCAUAAAAAAGGGUGGUACCUCCCGUCCUUUGCAGGCCCCCCUUUUGAUGGGGGGCUUUUUAAGACUUUCUGCUUCGGCGGGGUUACUCCCGCCGGAACACCCUCAAAAAACUCUUGAUCGAAAACCGUUCAGUCCGAGAAUUUUUGAAAAUUAAAAAAAAACUUUCAACAACGGAUCUCUUGGUUCUGGCAUCGAUGAAGAACGCAGC
This 368-nucleotide unclassified non-coding RNA is filed under the name uncultured fungus. Its description in RNAcentral is "partial contains small subunit ribosomal RNA, internal transcribed spacer 1, and 5.8S ribosomal RNA". The stretch from base 1 to 143 matches the Rfam family "Eukaryotic small subunit ribosomal RNA", at positions 1759 to 1831 of the family's 1831-position model. The record is from RNAcentral. Lineage: Eukaryota; Fungi.